Molecule: unclassified non-coding RNA, 240 nt
Filed under: soil metagenome
Description: partial contains 5.8S ribosomal RNA, internal transcribed spacer 2, and large subunit ribosomal RNA
Source: RNAcentral
AACACUGUUAACCUGCGGUACCUGCGGAGGGAUCAUUACCGAGUUUACAAACUCCCAACCCUAUGUGAACCUUACCAAUCGUUGCUUCGGCGGGCUUAGCCCCCGCGCCCUCGCCGGCGCCGGGAGAAAGGCGCCCGCCGGGGACCCCAAACCCAAUGUUUUUCAUGCAGUAUUUCUGAGUGGCAAACGCAAAAAUAAAUCAAAACUUUCAGCAAUGGAUCUCAGAUCGGAAGAGCACAC